Molecule: ribosomal RNA, 460 nt
Filed under: uncultured bacterium
Lineage: Bacteria
Description: partial 16S ribosomal RNA
Rfam family: Bacterial small subunit ribosomal RNA
Source: RNAcentral
CCUACGGGUGGCAGCAGUGAGGAAUAUUGGUCAAUGGACGAGCGUCUGAACCAGCCAAGUAGCGUGAAGGAUGACUGCCCUAUGGGUUGUAAACUUCUUUUAUAUGGGAAUAAAACGUUCCCCGUGUGUGAUUUUGUAUGUACCAUAUGAAUAAGGAUCGGCUAACUCCGUGCCAGCAGCCGCGGUAAUACGGAGGAUCCGAGCGUUAUCCGGAUUUAUUGGGUUUAAAGGGAUCGUAGGUGGAUUGUUAAGUCAGUUGUGAAAGUUUGCGGCUCAACCGUAAAAUUGCAGUUGAAACUGGAAGUCUAGAGUACAGUAGAGGUGGGCGGAAUGCGUGGUGUAGCGGUGAAAUGCUUAGAUAUCACGAAGAACUCCGAUUGCGAAGGCAGUUCACUGGACUGCAACCGACACUGAGGCUCGAAAGUGUGGGUAUCAAACAGGAUUAGAUACCCUAGUAGUC